UACGUAGGUGGCAAGCGUUGUCCGGAAUUAUUGGGCGUAAAGCGCGCGCAGGUGGUUUCUUAAGUCUGAUGUGAAAGCCCACGGCUCAACCGUGGAGGGUCAUUGGAAACUGGGGAACUUGAGUGCAGAAGAGGAAAGUGGAAUUCCACGUGUAGCGGUGAAAUGCGUAGAGAUGUGGAGGAACACCAGUGGCGAAGGCGACUUUCUGGUCUGUAACUGACACUGAGGCGCGAAAGCGUGGGGAGCAAACAG
This 252-nucleotide ribosomal RNA is filed under the name uncultured bacterium. RNAcentral describes it as "partial 16S ribosomal RNA". It matches the Rfam family "Bacterial small subunit ribosomal RNA", at positions 524 to 775 of the family's 1533-position model. The record is from RNAcentral.